Dermacentor andersoni is the source of this 99-nucleotide long non-coding RNA. RefSeq lists it as uncharacterized. NCBI's taxonomy places the organism in Eukaryota, Metazoa, Arthropoda, Arachnida, Ixodida, Ixodidae. The record is from RefSeq and is a predicted model, not a curated record.
AGGCGUCGGAGAUGCGCAGUUUCAGGAGAACUACGGCGCUGCUUACGGCGCCCCAAUGUACGGGGAAGGCGCAGUGGCUGCGCCUCCUCCUACGGCGGG